RNAcentral lists this unclassified non-coding RNA (346 nucleotides) under soil metagenome. RNAcentral describes it as "partial contains 5.8S ribosomal RNA, internal transcribed spacer 2, and large subunit ribosomal RNA". The stretch from base 1 to 120 matches the Rfam family "5.8S ribosomal RNA", at positions 35 to 154 of the family's 154-position model. The record is from RNAcentral.
GAUGAAGAACGCAGCAAAAUGCGAUAAGUAAUGUGAAUUGCAGAAUUCAGUGAAUCAUCGAAUCUUUGAACGCACAUUGCGCCCGCCAGUAUUCUGGCUGGCAUGCCUGUUCGAGCGUCAUUUCAACCCUCAAGCCCUCGGGUUUGGUGUUGGGGAUCGGCGAGCCUUUCUGGCAAGCCGGCCCCGAAAUCUAGUGGCGGUCUCGCUGCAGCCUCCAUUGCGUAGUAGUAAAACCCUCGCAACUGGAACGCGGCGCGGCCAAGCCGUUAAACCCCCAACUUCUGAAUGUUGACCUCGGAUCAGGUAGGAAUACCCGCUGAACUUAAGCAUAUCAAUAAGCGGAGGA